Long non-coding RNA from Triticum dicoccoides, 601 nucleotides. RefSeq lists it as uncharacterized. The transcript has 4 exons. The record is from RefSeq and is a predicted model, not a curated record. Lineage: Eukaryota; Viridiplantae; Streptophyta; Magnoliopsida; Poales; Poaceae.
GUGGCUGCGCCACUCACCCACGAAGCAUCGCUGAGAGGAUUAGUUAAUUUCCUACAACAUUUUUGGUGUUUGUCUUGGUGCGACAUGUUUGUACUGAAUAUUUUUCUUUCUUAUGCUGUUUAGGAAAGAAGAGCAAGGAAUAGCAAGAGGCUAAGGAGGCUGCAAGACCUCGUGCCCAAUAUGGACAAGAGUAUCAAAGCUUCUUCUAGAUCAAAGAAAGCUAAUCCAGAAUCAACCAUAGUCAGUGCAAGAAGGUUAUACAGGGCAGAUGAUAUUUCAUCAGAGAGGUAUACUACAGUGAAAAUAUAAUAAGUGUGCCAGUUUGUGAUGGUUGAGGGGAAAUGUGAGGUUAUAGCAAAGAAUGACAUUCCAAAUUCAAAUCUUCCGGUAGUGGUUGAGCAUGCCUUUUACUGUGAACAUUUAUAUGAUCCUGAUGCUGGAGCUCUUAAGCAGCUACCGACAAAUGUUAAGCUCAUGACCUUGACAAGGAAGGCGCAUGCUGCAAAAAAGAAUGAAGGCAAGUAGAUUUGUGACGAUGAGCAAGCUGGUUCAGACAAACAGAACGCAACACCAGAGAACUGUCUUGCAACCCUUGAUAUUU